AGCGGAGGAAAAGAAACCAACAGGGAUUGCCCUAGUAACGGCGAGUGAAGCGGCAACAGCUCAAAUUUGAAAUCUGGCGCAAGCCCGAGUUGUAAUUUGUAGAGGAUGCUUCUAGGUAGCGACCGGUCUAAGUUCCUUGGAACAGGACGUCAUAGAGGGUGAGAAUCCCGUAUGUGACCGGCCCGCACCUUCUACGUAGCUCCUUCGACGAGUCGAGUUGUUUGGGAAUGCAGCUCUAAAUGGGAGGUAAAUUUCUUCUAAAGCUAAAUACCGGCCAGAGACCGAUAGCGCACAAGUAGAGUGAUCGAAAGAUGAAAAGCACUUUGGAAAGAGAGUUAAAAAGCACGUGAAAUUGUUGAAAGGGAAGCGCUCACAACCAGACUUCUGGGCGGUGUUCCGCCGGUCUUCUGACCGGUCUACUCACCGUCCCGAGGCCAACAUCAUCUGGGACCGCUGGAUAAGACCUCAGGAAUGUAGCUCCCCCUCGGGGGAGUGUUAUAGCCUGUGGUGAUGCAGCGCGUCUCGGGUGAGGUCCGCGCUUCGGCAAGGAUGUUGGCGUAAUGGUUGUCAGCGGCCCGUCUUGAAACACGGACCAAGGAGUCUAACAUCUAUGCGAGUGUUCGGGUGUCAAACCCCUACGCGUAAUGAAAGUGAACGGAGGUGGGAAGCGUAAGCUGCACCAUCGACCGAUCCUGAUGUCCUCGGAUGGAUUUGAGUAAGAGCAUAGCUGUUGGGACCCGAAAGAUGGUGAACUAUGCCUGAAUAGGGUGAAGCCAGAGGAAACUCUGGUGGAGGCUCGCAGCGGUUCUGACGUGCAAAUCGAUCGUCAAAUUUGGGUAUAGGGGCGAAAGACUA
RNAcentral lists this ribosomal RNA (855 nucleotides) under Ramularia hydrangeae-macrophyllae. RNAcentral's name for it is "eukaryotic LSU rRNA". It matches the Rfam family "Eukaryotic large subunit ribosomal RNA", at positions 49 to 933 of the family's 3401-position model. The record is from RNAcentral. Lineage: Eukaryota; Fungi; Ascomycota; Dothideomycetes; Mycosphaerellales; Mycosphaerellaceae.